CCUACGGGUGGCUGCAGUGGGGGAUAUUGCACAAUGGGGGGAACCCUGAUGCAGCGACGCCGCGUGGGUGAAGAAGCGCCUCGGCGCGUAAAGCCCUGUCAGCAGGGAAGAAAAGGACGGUACCUGAAGAAGAAGCCCCGGAUAACUACGUGCCAGCAGCCGCGGUAAUACGUAGGGGGCAAGCGUUAGCCGGAUUUACGGGGUGUAAAGGGGGUGAAGACGGUGAUGCAAGCCAGGAGUGAAAGCCGGGGGCCCAACCCCGGGACUGAUCUUGGAACUGCGAGGCUGGAGUGCAGGAGGGGCAGGCGGAAUUCCUGGUGUAGCGGUGAAAUGCGUAGAUAUCAGGAGGAACACCGGUGGCGAAGGCGGCCUGCUGGACUGCAACUGACGUUGAGGCGCGAAAGCGUGGGGAGCAAACAGGAUUAGAUACCCCGGUAGUC
This 440-nucleotide ribosomal RNA is filed under the name uncultured bacterium. RNAcentral's name for it is "partial 16S ribosomal RNA". It matches the Rfam family "Bacterial small subunit ribosomal RNA", at positions 338 to 795 of the family's 1533-position model. The record is from RNAcentral.